This 502-nucleotide ribosomal RNA is filed under the name uncultured bacterium. RNAcentral's name for it is "partial 16S ribosomal RNA". It matches the Rfam family "Bacterial small subunit ribosomal RNA", at positions 899 to 1397 of the family's 1533-position model. The record is from RNAcentral.
ACUCAAAGGAAUUGACGGGGACCCGCACAAGCGGUGGAACAUGUGGUUUAAUUCGAGGCAACGCGAAGAACCUUACCAGGCCUUGACAUGCCUCUCGCGGGACCCAGAAAAGGGUCCCUUCGGUUCGGCCGGAGAGUGCACAGGUGCUGCAUGGCUGUCGUCAGCUCGUGUCGUGAGAUGUUGGGUUAAGUCCCGCAACGAGCGCAACCCUCAUCCUCUGUUGCCAACAGGUAAAGCUGGGAACUCUGAGGAAACUGCCGGUGAUAAGCCGGAGGAAGGUGGGGAUGACGUCAAGUCCUCAUGGCCCUUACGGCCUGGGCUACACACGUGUUACAAUGGCGGUGACAAUGGGCUGCUAACCCGCAAGGGUAUGCGAAUCCCUAAAAGCCGCCUCAGUUCGGAUUGUACUCUGCAACUCGAGUACAUGAAGCUGGAAUCGCUAGUAAUCGUGGAUCAGCACGCCACGGUGAAUACGUUCCCGGGUCUUGUACACACCGCCCGU